Molecule: small RNA, 43 nt
Organism: Shigella dysenteriae Sd197
Lineage: Bacteria; Pseudomonadati; Pseudomonadota; Gammaproteobacteria; Enterobacterales; Enterobacteriaceae
Rfam family: ES036 (CssrF) sRNA
About the family: Differentially expressed under several chemical stress conditions. Also identified in Shigella as CssrF.
Source: Rfam
AAAACUAUGCAAAUUCAAUACAUUGCAGGAGUCGAAUAGGCCU